Molecule: non-coding RNA, 21 nt
Filed under: Caenorhabditis elegans
Lineage: Eukaryota; Metazoa; Nematoda; Chromadorea; Rhabditida; Rhabditidae
Source: RNAcentral
UUCCAGCAGUUACUAGAAAUG